UAAAGAUCUAGCCCUGUGAAAGGAAACAGCCCAGCUUUCACCCUUGACUUCUGGGAAGCAGACUCUGGCCUUUGGCCUCACCACCACUGCCUGCCCCUCCUUGAAGUGGAAAAGCCUGGAAGAGCACAGGUUCUUCUUAAGGAUGUGAGCCAACAUGAACAUUCUGGUGAGUCACUUUGGAUAACCACCUGCCCUGUAAGAGGAUGCAGACCCAAUUCUACUACAGUGUCACCUGGAAUAGAUGGAGAGUAGAGCUGAGCAAAGAGAACCUUGAUGUGGGGAUAACCAGGAUCAGCAAGAAAGAAGAUACCAAGUUCCCUCUUUCCACUGCCCCACAGAGGCCACAUCCUGGGCAACCAGCAUGACACCACAUGGAGAGGGCUCAUCUUGACCUGCCUUCGUCGUCAUCCCACCUAGCAACAAUCUGCAACAAAUGGCAGAUUUUCUGACCAGACAGAUCAGAGUCACUGCAGAUGCAGA
Condylura cristata (star-nosed mole) is the source of this 480-nucleotide long non-coding RNA. RefSeq lists it as uncharacterized. The transcript has 4 exons. The record is from RefSeq and is a predicted model, not a curated record. NCBI's taxonomy places the organism in Eukaryota, Metazoa, Chordata, Mammalia, Eulipotyphla, Talpidae.